UACUGGUCUUUGCACGCUCGAGAACUUGGUCUGAAGUUCGAGCUUCUCUUUUUUUGGGCUUUAAUUUGAGUGCUUUACUUUAUACUAUGUUCGAUAUGUUUUGGUAGGAAGAAGAGGUUGUUGGGACUGGCUUGACUAUCUUAAUUUAGUCUGCCUUAGUAUGGAACCAAAUGAACUGGAGAAGAGAUGAAAUAUAAAUGUAAACAACUUAUAGAUAAAUUCAACAAAACAACUGUAGCUGUGGUAAGGUUGCUUGGGCACAUGUGAGUUUGAUUCUUAAUAUGAUGUAACACCCUAAAAAAAAUCUGUUCUUUUUGAAAUAGUUGAAAAAGAUUUAAUUUUGUAUUUUUGUGUUCAUGAAAUAUAGAGAAAUAAUAUUCUUCAUUAAGUUAAAAUUUAUUCUAGGCUUAGCAACAUGGUGGUGCAUUCAUAUUGGAGCAUAUGUUUUAUUCCAUGUGUGGUUUUGAUCAAAGUCAAAAUGUUUUCAGAUUUAUUUUAAACUGUUUUGAAAAGACUUUGAAAUAAAAAGAAACAAAAAAGAAACAAAAGAACAGAAAAGAAAAAAAACCUUCUGCUUUUGGCCCGAAGGCCCUAUCCUCCCUCCCCUUUCCUUCUCUCUUGGCCUCGGCCCAAGCCGCGCCCUCCCUCUCCCCUUCCCUUCUUCACGCCGCGGCCAAGACCAGAGCAAUCGGCCCAGCACAGCAGAGAGCCCCCGCGCCUUCUCUCCCCUCUCUCUGUUUGGAUGACGAACGGGCCCCGCUUUUUCUUUCACUGACAGCCGACCCCGCAGCGCAGUUUCCUGUUCUUCUUCCCCGCGUAUCCGACCAGGAUCCUUUCCCCUCCAGCACCGAGCCGAUCCCGAAACCCUGGGAUCUCCUUGCUAUCUUGUGCGCCAAGCUCCUAUAAAGGCUCAAGGACCUCCCCGCGACCUCCCUUUGUCGUUUUCCGCAUCCCGGGAGCCCUAGCCGUCACGUUCAUCGAGUUUUGGAUCUCCCCGAAAAACUCCUCCGCGACCCGAUCUCUCCGCUCGUUCUCGGCCCA
Molecule: long non-coding RNA, 1041 nt
Filed under: Sorghum bicolor (sorghum)
Lineage: Eukaryota; Viridiplantae; Streptophyta; Magnoliopsida; Poales; Poaceae
Description: long non-coding RNA (SBIC_LNC017256)
Source: RNAcentral